GGCCUCGUAGCUCAGCUGGUAGAGCAUGCGCGUACAAAGCGUAGGCGGUGUCCAUGCGUGGGUUCGAAUCCCACCGAGGCGA
RNAcentral lists this transfer RNA (82 nucleotides) under Echinostoma caproni. It matches the Rfam family "tRNA". From Rfam's summary of the family: Transfer RNA (tRNA) molecules are approximately 80 nucleotides in length. Lineage: Eukaryota; Metazoa; Platyhelminthes; Trematoda; Plagiorchiida; Echinostomatidae. The record is from Rfam by way of RNAcentral.